Molecule: ribosomal RNA, 325 nt
Filed under: uncultured bacterium
Lineage: Bacteria
Description: bacterial SSU rRNA
Rfam family: Bacterial small subunit ribosomal RNA
Source: RNAcentral
GAUGAACACUAGCGAUAGGCCUAACACAUGCAAGUCGAGGGGCAGCACAUGAGUAGCAAUACGAUGGUGGCGACCGGCGCACAAGUGAGUAACACAUAUGCAACCUACCUUUAACAGGGGGAAUAACCCAUUGAAAAACGGACUAAUACUCCAUAACACAGAAGUCCCGCAUGGGAAUAUUUGUUAAAGAUUAAUCAAUUAAAGAUAAACAUACAUUCCAUUAGCUUGUUGUGAGGUAACGGCUUACCAAGGCGAAGACGGGUAGCCGGCCUGAGAGGGCGAUCGGCCACACUGGAACUGAGAUAUGGUCCAGACUCCUACGGGA